GACGAACGCUGGCGGCGUGCUUAACACAUGCAAGUCGAACGGACAGGCCCUGCUUUUGUGGGGUGCUCGAGUGGCGCACGGGUGAGUAACACGUGAGUAACCUGCCCCUGUCUUUGGGAUAACUUCAGGAAACUGGGGCGAAUACCGGAUAGGAGCUCCUGCAGCAUGGUGGGGGUUGGAAAGUUUCGGCGGUUGGGGAUGGACUCGAGGCUUAUCCGCUUGUUGGUGGGGUAGUGGCUUACCAAGGCUUUGAAGGGUAGCCGGCCUGAGAGGGUGACCGGCCACAUGGGGACUGAGAGACGGCCCAGACGCCUACGGGCGGCAGCAGGGGGGAAUAUGGCGGAAUGGGCGGAAGCCUGAUGCAGAAACGCCGCGUGCGGGAUGACGGGUUUCGGGGUGUAAACCGCUUUCGCCUGUAACGAAGCGUGAGUGACGGUAAUGGGUAAAGAAGCACCGGCUAACUACGUG
Molecule: ribosomal RNA, 468 nt
Filed under: uncultured bacterium
Lineage: Bacteria
Description: partial 16S ribosomal RNA
Rfam family: Bacterial small subunit ribosomal RNA
Source: RNAcentral